This 243-nucleotide ribosomal RNA is filed under the name uncultured bacterium. RNAcentral describes it as "partial 16S ribosomal RNA". It matches the Rfam family "Bacterial small subunit ribosomal RNA", at positions 1260 to 1500 of the family's 1533-position model. The record is from RNAcentral.
AGGGGGAGGCGAAUCCCAAAAAUAAACGUCCCAGUUCGGAUUGUAGUCUGCAACCCGACUACAUGAAGCUGGAAUCGCUAGUAAUCGCGGAUCAGAAUGCCGCGGUGAAUACGUUCCCGGGCCUUGUACACACCGCCCGUCACACCAUGGAAGUCGGUAAUGCCCGAAGUCAGUAGCCUAACCGCAAGGGGGGCGCUGCCGAAGGCAGGAUUGAUGACUGGGGUGAAGUCGUAACAAGGUACC